This 430-nucleotide ribosomal RNA is filed under the name bacterium. RNAcentral's name for it is "partial 16S ribosomal RNA". It matches the Rfam family "Bacterial small subunit ribosomal RNA", at positions 355 to 776 of the family's 1533-position model. RNAcentral also lists the same sequence under 2 other names. The record is from RNAcentral.
UGGGGAAUAUUGGACAAUGGGGGGAACCCUGAUCCAGCCAUGCCGCGUGUGUGAAGAAGGCCUUUUGGUUGUAAAGCACUUUAAGCGAGGAGGAGGCUACCGAGAUUAAUACUCUUGGAUAGUGGACGUUACUCGCAGAAUAAGCACCGGCUAACUCUGUGCCAGCAGCCGCGGUAAUACAGAGGGUGCGAGCGUUAAUCGGAUUUACUGGGCGUAAAGCGUGCGUAGGCGGCUUUUUAAGUCGGAUGUGAAAUCCCUGAGCUUAACUUAGGAAUUGCAUUCGAUACUGGGAAGCUAGAGUAUGGGAGAGGAUGGUAGAAUUCCAGGUGUAGCGGUGAAAUGCGUAGAGAUCUGGAGGAAUACCGAUGGCGAAGGCAGCCAUCUGGCCUAAUACUGACGCUGAGGUACGAAAGCAUGGGGAGCAAACAGG